GGUAGCGAAAUUCCUUGUCGGGUAAGUUCCGACCUGCACGAAUGGCGUAAUGAUGGCCAGGCUGUCUCCACCCGAGACUCAGUGAAAUUGAACUCGCUGUGAAGAUGCAGUGUACCCGCGGCUAGACGGAAAGACCCCGUGAACCUUUACUAUAGCUUGACACUGAACAUUGAGCCUUGAUGUGUAGGAUAGGUGGGAGGCUUUGAAGCGUGGACGCCAGUCUGCGUGGAGCCAACCCUG
Molecule: ribosomal RNA, 240 nt
Filed under: Acinetobacter baumannii
Lineage: Bacteria; Pseudomonadati; Pseudomonadota; Gammaproteobacteria; Moraxellales; Moraxellaceae
Description: partial 23S ribosomal RNA
Rfam family: Bacterial large subunit ribosomal RNA
Source: RNAcentral